UAAACUUCAAUCAAAAAAAAC
This 21-nucleotide non-coding RNA is filed under the name Caenorhabditis elegans. Lineage: Eukaryota; Metazoa; Nematoda; Chromadorea; Rhabditida; Rhabditidae. The record is from RNAcentral.